UUCAAUAAAUUUGCACGAUGCGCCGGUACCUAUCAAGGUAUAAAAGGGAAUUCGUAAAUCGAAGCUGUCCCCGCAACUGUACACACGGACGACUGCCAAAAGAAGCCACUAUGAAGACAUGGGAAGGCUUGGCGGAAGGAUGAAGUGAAGCCAGGAGACCUGCCCCGCAUCGUCAAAGCGA
RNAcentral lists this non-coding RNA (181 nucleotides) under Sporosarcina sp. Lineage: Bacteria; Bacillati; Bacillota; Bacilli; Caryophanales; Caryophanaceae. The record is from RNAcentral.